AUUCUAUCAUUUUUCGGUACUCACAUUGAUUCGACCAUUUUUUUGUAAUCGCCGGGACAGUUUUUUGAUACUCGCACGGAUUCUAUCUUUUCCCGGUAGUCUCCCGGAUUUUACUAUUUUUCGUUAAUCACACUGAUUCGACCCUUUUCUGGUACUCGUCAGGACAAUUUUUUGAUACUCGCAUGGAUUCUACCUUUCCCGGUACUCGCCCGGAUUCUAUCAUUUUUCGGUACUCACAUUGAUUCGACUAUUUUUUUGUAAUAGCCGGGACAGGUUUUCGAUACUCGCACGGAUUCUACCUUUUCCCGGUACUCUCCCGGAUUCUACUAUUUUUCGUUACUCACACUGAUUCGACCCUUUUCUGGUACUCGUCAGGACAAUUUUUUGAUACUCGCAUGGAUUCUACCUUUUCCCGGUACUCGCCCGGAUUCUAUUAUUUUUCGGUACUCACAUUGAUUCGACCCUUUUUUUGUAAUCGCCGGGAAAGUUUUUCCAUACUCGCACGGAUUCUACCUUUUCCCGGUACUCUCCAGGAUACAACUAUUUUUCGAUACUCACACUGAUUCGACCUUUUCCGGUACUUGUCAGGACCCUUUUCCGGUACUCGCAUGGAUUCUACCUUUUCCCGGUACUCGCCCGGAUUAUAUUAUUUUUCGGUACUCACAUUGAUUCGACGGUUUUUUGGUAAUCGCCGGGACAGUUUUUCGAUACUCGCACGGAUUCUACCUUUUCCCGGUACUCUCCCAGAUACAACUAUUUUUCGAUACUCACACUGAUUCGACCCUUUUCCGGUACUCGUCAGGACAAUUUUUCGAUACUCGCAUGGAUUCUACCUUUUCCCGGUACUCGCCCGGAUUCUAUCAUUUUUCGGUACUCACAUUGAUUCGACCAUUUUUUUGUAAUCGCCGGGACAGUUUUUCGAUACUCGCACGGAUUCUACCUUUUCCCAGUACUCUCCCGGAUUCUACUAUUUUUCGGUACUCACACUGAUUCGACCCUUCUCCGGUACUCGUCAGGACAAUUUUUCGAUACUCGCAUGGAUUCUACCUUUUCCCGGUACUCGCCCGGAUUCUAUCAUUUUUCGGUACUCACAUUGAUUCGACCAUUUUUUUGUAAUCGCCGGGACAGUUUUUCGAUACUCGAACGGAUUCUAUCUUUUCCCGGUAGUCUCCCGAAUUCUACUAUUUUUCGGUACACACACUGAUUCGACCCUUUUCCGGUACUUGUCAGGACAAUUUUUCAAUACUCUCAAGGCUUCUACCUUUUCCCGGUACUCGCCUGGAUUCUUUUAUUUUUUGGUACUCACAUUGAUUCGACCCUUUUUUGGUAAUCGCCGGGAAAGUUUUUCCAUACUCGCACGGAAUCUAUCUUUUCCCGGUACUCUCCAAGAUACAACUAUUUUUCAAUACUCACACUGAUUCGACCCUUUUCCGGUACUCGCAUGGAUUCUACCUUUUCCCGGUACUCGCCCGGAUUCAAUUAUUUUCCGGUACUCACAUUGAUUCGACCCUUUUUUGGUAAACGCCGGGACAAUUUUUCGAUACUCGCACGGAUUCUACCUUUUCCCUAUGCUCUCCCAGAUACAACUAUUUUUCGAUACUCACAUUGAUUCGAACCUUUUCUGGUACUCGUCAGGACAAUUUUUCGAUACUCGAAUGGAUUCUACCUUUUCCCGGUACUCGCCCGGAUUCUAUUAUUUUCGGUACUCACAUUGAGUCGACCCUUUUUUGGUAAUAGCUGGGACAAUUUUUCGAUACUCUCACGGAUUCUACCUUUUCUCGGUACUCUCCCGGAUACUACUAUUUUUCGGUACUCACACUGAUUCGACCCUUUUCCGGUACUCGUCAGGACAAUUUUUCGAUACUCGCAUGGAUUUUACCUUUUCCCGAUAAUCGCCCGGAUUCUAUUAUUUUUCGGUACUCACAUUGAUUCGACCGUUUUUUGGUAAUCGCCGGGACAGUUUUUCGAUACUCUCCUGGAUUCUCCUAUUUUUCGGUACUCACACUAAUUCGACCCUUUUCCGGUACUCGUUAGGACAAUUUUUCGAUACUCGAAUGGAUUCUACCUUUUCCCGGUACUCUCCCAGAUUCAAUUAUUUUUCAAUACUAACAUUGCUUCGACCCUUUUUUGGAAAUCGCCGAGACAGUUUUUCCAUACUCGCACGGAUUCUACCUUUUCCCCGCACUCUCUCGGAUUCUACUUUUUUUCGGUACACACACUGAUUCAACCCUUUUACGGUACUUGUCAGGACAAUUUUUCGAUACUCGCAAGGCUUCUACCUUUUCCCGGUACUCGCCCGGAUUCUAUUAUUUUUCGGUACUCACAUUGAUUCGACCAUUUUUUUGUAAUCGCUGGGACAAUUUUUCGAUACUCGCACCGAUUCUACCUUUUCCCAGUACUCUCCCGGAUUCUACUAUUUUUCGGUACUCACAUUUAUUCGACCCUUUUCCGGUACUCGUCAGGACAAUUUUUCGAUACUCGCAUGGAUUCUACCUUUUCCCGGUACUCGCCCGGAUUCUAUCAUUUUUCGGU
RNAcentral lists this long non-coding RNA (2532 nucleotides) under Vitis vinifera (wine grape). RNAcentral describes it as "long non-coding RNA (VVIN_LNC007613)". Lineage: Eukaryota; Viridiplantae; Streptophyta; Magnoliopsida; Vitales; Vitaceae. The record is from RNAcentral.